RNAcentral lists this ribosomal RNA (486 nucleotides) under uncultured bacterium. RNAcentral's name for it is "partial 16S ribosomal RNA". It matches the Rfam family "Bacterial small subunit ribosomal RNA", at positions 30 to 507 of the family's 1533-position model. The record is from RNAcentral.
AUUGAACGCUGGCGGCAUGCCUUACACAUGCAAGUCGAACGGCAGCACGGGUGCUUGCACCUGGUGGCGAGUGGCGAACGGGUGAGUAAUACAUCGGAACAUGUCCUGUAGUGGGGGAUAGCCCGGCGAAAGCCGGAUUAAUACCGCAUACGAUCUACGGAUGAAAGCGGGGGACCUUCGGGCCUCGCGCUAUAGGGUUGGCCGAUGGCUGAUUAGCUAGUUGGUGGGGUAAAGGCCUACCAAGGCGACGAUCAGUAGCUGGUCUGAGAGGACGACCAGCCACACUGGGACUGAGACACGGCCCAGACUCCUACGGGAGGCAGCAGUGGGGAAUUUUGGACAAUGGGCGAAAGCCUGAUCCAGCAAUGCCGCGUGUGUGAAGAAGGCCUUCGGGUUGUAAAGCACUUUUGUCCGGAAAGAAAUCCUUGGCCCUAAUACGGUCGAGGGAUGACGGUACCGGAAGAAUAAGCACCGGCUAACUACGUG